This 649-nucleotide ribosomal RNA is filed under the name uncultured bacterium. Its description in RNAcentral is "bacterial SSU rRNA". It matches the Rfam family "Bacterial small subunit ribosomal RNA", at positions 8 to 694 of the family's 1533-position model. The record is from RNAcentral.
AGAGUUUGAUCCUGGCUCAGGAUGAACGCUGGCGGUAUGCCUAACACAUGCAAGUCGUACGAGAGUUUUUAACUCUAGUGGCGGACGGGUGAGUAACACGUGAGAAUUUGCCUUUAGGAGGGGGAUAACAAUUGGAAACGAAUGCUAAUACCCCAUAUGCUUUCGAGUGAAAUGAAUUUUUUAUUUGCCUAAAGAGAAGCUCGCGGCUGAUUAGCUUGUUGGUAAGGUAAGAGCUUACCAAGGCGACGAUCAGUAUCUGGUUUGAGAGGACGAUCAGACACACUGGAACUGAGACACGGUCCAGACUCCUACGGGAGGCAGUAGUGGGGAAUUUUCCGCAAUGGGCGAAAGCCUGACGGAGCAAUACCGCGUGAGGGAAGAAUGCCUAUGGGUUGUAAACCUCUUUUUUCAGGGAGGAAUAAAUGACGUGUACCUGAAGAAUAAGCAUCGGCUAACUCCGUGCCAGCAGCCGCGGUAAGACGGAGGAUGCAAGUGUUAUCCGGAAUCACUGGGCGUAAAGCGUCUGUAGGUGGUUUAAUAAGUCAACUGUUAAAUCUUGAGGCUCAACUUCAAAAUCGCAGCUGAAACUAUUAGACUAGAGUAUAGUAGAGGUAAAGGGAAUUUCCAGUGUAGCGGUGAAAUGCGUAGA